This 306-nucleotide unclassified non-coding RNA is filed under the name plant metagenome. RNAcentral's name for it is "partial contains 5.8S ribosomal RNA, internal transcribed spacer 2, and large subunit ribosomal RNA". The stretch from base 1 to 105 matches the Rfam family "5.8S ribosomal RNA", at positions 50 to 154 of the family's 154-position model. The record is from RNAcentral.
GAAAUGCGAUAAGUAAUGUGAAUUGCAGAAUUCAGUGAAUCAUCGAAUCUUUGAACGCACAUUGCGCCCGCCAGUAUUCUGGCGGGCAUGCCUGUCCGAGCGUCAUUUCAACCAUCAAGCCCCCGGGCUUGUGUUGGGGACCUGCGGCUGCCCGCAGGCCCUGAAAACCAGUGGCGGGCUCGCUGUCACACCGAGCGUAGUAGCAAUCACCUCGCUCAGGGCGUGCUGCGGGUUCCGGCCGUUAAAUAGCCUUACAAAACCCAAGGUUGACCUCGGAUCAGGUAGGAAGACCCGCUGAACUUAAGC